GACGAACGCUGGCGGCGUGCUUAACACAUGCAAGUCGAACGGAAAGGCCCUGCUUUUGUGGGGUGCUCGAGUGGCGAACGGGUGAGUAACACGUGAUUAACCUGCCCUUGACUUUGGGAUAACUUCAGGAAACUGGGGCUAAUACCGGAUAGGAUCUCCUGCUGCAUGGUGGGGGUUGGAAAGUUUCGGCGGUUGGGGAUGGACUCGCGGCUUAUCAGCUUGUUGGUGGGGUAGUGGCUUACCAAGGCUUUGACGGGUAGCCGGCCUGAGAGGGUGACCGGCCACAUUGGGACUGAGAUACGGCACAGACUCCUACGGGAGGCAGCAGUGGGGAAUAUUGCACAAUGGGCGGAAGCCUGAUGCAGCAACGCCGCGUGCGGGAUGACGGCCUUCGGGUUGUAAACCGAUUUCGCCUGUGACGAAGCGUGAGUGACGGUAAUGGGUAAAGAAGCACCGGCUAACUACGUG
RNAcentral lists this ribosomal RNA (468 nucleotides) under uncultured bacterium. Its description in RNAcentral is "partial 16S ribosomal RNA". It matches the Rfam family "Bacterial small subunit ribosomal RNA", at positions 28 to 507 of the family's 1533-position model. The record is from RNAcentral.